RNAcentral lists this ribosomal RNA (468 nucleotides) under uncultured bacterium. Its description in RNAcentral is "partial 16S ribosomal RNA". It matches the Rfam family "Bacterial small subunit ribosomal RNA", at positions 28 to 507 of the family's 1533-position model. The record is from RNAcentral.
GACGAACGCUGGCGGCGUGCUUAACACAUGCAAGUCGAACGGAAAGGCCCUGCUUUUGUGGGGUGCUCGAGUGGCGAACGGGUGAGUAACACGUGAGUAACCUGCCCUUGACUUUGGGAUAACUUCAGGAAACUGGGGCUUAUACCGGAUAGGAGCUCCUGCUGCAUGGUGGGGGUUGGAAAAUUUCGGCGGUUGGGGAUGGACUCGCGGCUUAUCAGCUUGUUGGUGGGGUAGUGGCUUACCAAGGCUUUGACGGGUAGCCGGCCUGAGAGGGUGACCGGCCACAUUGGGACUGAGAUACGGCCCAGACUCCUACGGGAGGCAGCAGUGGGGAAUAUUGCACAAUGGGCGGAAGCCUGAUGCAGCAACGCCGCGUGCGGGAUGACGGCCUUCGGGUUGUAAACCGCUUUCGCCUGUGACGAAGCGUGAGUGACGGUAAUGGGUAAAGAAGCACCGGCUAACUACGUG